GAUGAACGCUGGCGGCGUGCCUAAUACAUGCAAGUCGAGCGAACAGAUGAGGAGCUUGCUCCUCUGACGUUAGCGGCGGACGGGUGAGUAACACGUGGAUAACCUACCUAUAAGACUGGGAUAACUUCGGGAAACCGGAGCUAAUACCGGAUAAUAUAUUGAACCGCAUGGUUCAAUAGUGAAAGACGGUUUUGCUGUCACUUAUAGAUGGAUCCGCGCCGCAUUAGCUAGUUGGUAAGGUAACGGCCUACCAAGGGAAGUAUGCGUAGCCGACCUGAGAGGGUGAUCGGCCACCCUGGAGCUGGGCCACGGUCCAGACUCCUACGGGAGGCACCAGUAGGGAAUCUUCCGCAAUGGGCGAAAACCUGGCGGAGCAACGCCGAGUGAGUGAUGAAGGUCUUCGGAUCGUAAAGCUCUGUUAUUAGGGAUGAACAAAUGUGUAAGUAACUAUGCACGUCUUGACGGUACCUAAUCAGAAAGCCACGGCUAACUACGUG
RNAcentral lists this ribosomal RNA (497 nucleotides) under uncultured bacterium. RNAcentral describes it as "partial 16S ribosomal RNA". It matches the Rfam family "Bacterial small subunit ribosomal RNA", at positions 28 to 507 of the family's 1533-position model. The record is from RNAcentral.